ACACGUAGGGGGCGAGCGUUGUCCGGAAUUACUGGGUGUAAGGGGUGCGUAGGCAGCCUUGCAAGUCAGAUGCGAAAGAUCACGGCUUAACUGUGGUAAGCGUUUGAAACUGUAAGGCUUGAGUGCAGGAGAGGAGAGUGGAAUUCCUAGUGUAGCGGUGAAAUGCGUAGAUAUUAGGAAGAAUAUCAGUGGCGAAGGCGGCUCUCUGGACUGCAACUGACGCUGAGGCACGAAAGCGUGGGGAGCAAACAGGAUUAGAGACCCUGGUAGUCCACGCUGUAAACGAUGAGUGCUAGGUGUCGGGGGUCAUACCUCGGUGCCGCAGUUAACGCAUUAAGCACUCCACCUGGGGAGUACGGCCGCAAGGCUGAA
Molecule: ribosomal RNA, 372 nt
Filed under: uncultured bacterium
Lineage: Bacteria
Description: bacterial SSU rRNA
Rfam family: Bacterial small subunit ribosomal RNA
Source: RNAcentral